AUCGAAGGUUGAACUUGAAUCGAUUUUUUUUUUUUUUUUUGAGAGAGAGAGAUAGGUAGCACGCUACUCGCUUCGUUUAUUUCAUUAGAAAUAAACUUAGCUGGAAAUGUGAAUCAAUUAGAAUUCGAACUUGGGUCUCAGGUACCAAACACCAAACUUGAAUCGAAUUUGAAUCUAAAGAUCCUCGAAUAGUCCAACAUUUCUGCUCUUUCUUCUUCUUUCUACCUCUUAUUUUCCUCAACUAAUCUUUCAAUUACAUAAAUGUUUCAAUCAAUGUUUAAC
This 282-nucleotide long non-coding RNA is filed under the name Ananas comosus (pineapple). RNAcentral describes it as "long non-coding RNA (ACOM_LNC038952)". Lineage: Eukaryota; Viridiplantae; Streptophyta; Magnoliopsida; Poales; Bromeliaceae. The record is from RNAcentral.